Long non-coding RNA from Scomber scombrus (Atlantic mackerel), 272 nucleotides. RefSeq lists it as uncharacterized. The transcript is spliced from 4 exons. NCBI's taxonomy places the organism in Eukaryota, Metazoa, Chordata, Actinopteri, Scombriformes, Scombridae. The record is from RefSeq and is a predicted model, not a curated record.
GACAGGUAGCAGACAGACAGGUGAGCAGACAGACAGGUAGCAGACAGACAGGUAGCAGACAGGUAGCAGACAGACAGACAGGUAGCAGACAGACAGGUGGCAGACAGACAGGUAGCAGACAGACAGACAGGUGGCAGACAGACAGGUAGCAGACAGACAGACAGGUAGCAGGCAGACAGUCAGACAGACAGGUAGCAGACAGGUAGCAGACAGACAGGUGGCAGACAGACAGGUAGCAGACAGGUAGCAGACAGACAGGUAGCAGACAGACA